CAUUUUCAGGAAAUAGCUUUGAUUUCGUUUUUUUAAACUAAAACCGUACUUAAACCGACACAGGUAAAUAAAUUUAGUAAAUUAAGAUGUUGAGUUAACUGUUGUUGAAGGAACUCGGCAAAAUGACUCCGUAACUUCGGGAUAAGGAGUGGCUUUUUUUGGGCAACCUUUUUAAGCUCACAGAAAAUCGGGAACAGCGACUGUUUAAUAAAAACACAGGUUUCUGCUAAUUUGUAAAAAGAUGUAUAGAAACUGACGCCUGCCCAGUGCUAAAAAACUAACGAAAAAAGUUUUGGCUUUAAUCCUAACUUUUAGUAAACGGCGGCUGUAACUCUGACGGUCCAAAGGUAGCGAAAUUCCUUGUCGGGUAAGUUCCGACCUGCACGAAUGGUGUAACCAUGGCCACGCUGUCUCCACCCGAGACUCAGUGAAAUUGAAAUCGCAGUGAAGAUGCUGUGUACCCGCACCUAGACGGAAAGACCCCGUGAACCUUUACUACAGCUUGGCACUGAACAUUGAACCUACAUGUGUAGGAUAGGUGGGAGGCUUUGAAGCACAGUCGCUAGAUUGUGUGGAGCCGUCCUUGAAAUACCACCCUUGUAUGUUUGAUGUUCUAACAUUGUUCCCUUAUCGGGAAUGUGGACAGUGUCUGGUGGGUAGUUUGACUGGGGCGGUCUCCUCCCAAAUAGUAACGGAGGAGCACGAAGGUUAGCUAAUCACGGUCGGACAUCGUGAGGUUAGUGCAAUGGCAUAAGCUAGCUUAACUGCGAGACAGACACGUCGAGCAGGUACGAAAGUAGGUCAUAGUGAUCCGGUGGUUCUGUAUGGAAGGGCC
This 835-nucleotide ribosomal RNA is filed under the name Ochromonas sp. CCMP1393. Its description in RNAcentral is "partial Bacterial large subunit ribosomal RNA". It matches the Rfam family "Bacterial large subunit ribosomal RNA", at positions 1603 to 2443 of the family's 2925-position model. Lineage: Eukaryota; Chrysophyceae; Chromulinales; Chromulinaceae. The record is from RNAcentral.